GCUGUGCGCCAAGAGUUUUCCUUCCCCCUCAUCGUCGAAAUAACAAACCCUACUACGGAGCAAGUGGCGGGGUGAGAGAGCGUCCAAAACCGCCUCUGACCGCCAGUUUCAAACUCAUUUGCGGAAAUCGUGGUAAUAUCAAUACAAGAACAAACAACGAUUCAACAAAGUAGUAUCUCGUUUGGAAAUAAAUUGAAUAACGGGGUCCUAUGCUACCGUUCCACUGUCUUGUGGACACUGAGGAUCUGAGGUCUGUUCUUAUUUGAGUUGGGUCAGACAUGAUAGAGAAAUGAUAGCAGCACCAGAGUUACCGUCAGAGUUCCACUAUCCUCAGGAUUCGGACACCCGUUUCUCCUCAGACACAGACUUCUCUGAGGCGCCUGAUGUCAGUAUCAACCCAACCAAAGGAAAGGGAGGGAAGAAGGGGAAGAAGGUGGCAGGAGAGAAGGGUAAAGGAGGGAAGGGAGUGGGGGAGCAGGGAGGAUGAACGGCCACUACCAGGAGAAUGGCAUGGAGAACCUGAUGCUGUUCGAGGUUGUCAAGAUGGGCAAAAGCGCCAUGCAGUCUGUGGUGGAUGACUGGAUUGAGGCAUAUAAAACCGACAGGGACAUGGCUCUGCUAGACCUCAUCAACUUCUUCAUCCAGUGUUCUGGCUGUAAAGGAGUGGUCAGUGGAGAGAUGUUCCGAAACAUGCAGAACUCUGAGAUCAUCAGGAGGAUGACAGAGGAGUUUGACGAGGACAGCGGAGACUACCCUCUGACCAUGGCAGGUCCGCUGUGGAAGAAGUUUAAGGGUAGUUUCUGUGAGUUCAUUGCUGUCUUGGUGAGACAGUGUCAGUACAGCAUCAUCUAUGAUGAGUACCUCAUGGACACGGUCAUAUCGCUCCUCACCGGACUGUCGGACUCACAGGUCCGAGCCUUCAGGCACACCAGCACACUGGCAGCUAUGAAACUGAUGACAGCCCUGGUGAAUGUAGCUCUGAACCUGAGCAUCAACAUGGACAACACACAGCGGCAGUACGAGACAGAGAGAAACAAGAAUGUCGCCAAGAGAGCCAACGACCGGCUGGAGCUACUGCUGCAGAAACGCAAAGAGCUUCAAGAAAAUCAGGACGAAAUUGAAAACAUGAUGAAUGCUAUAUUCAAGGGUGUGUUUGUACACCGGUAUCGUGAUGCCAUAGCAGAGAUCAGAGCUAUCACUAUAGAGGAGAUAGGAAUGUGGAUGAAGCUGUACAGUGACGCCUUCCUCAACGACAGCUACCUGAAAUACGUAGGCUGGACCAUGCACGACAAGCAAGGCGAGGUACGUCUGAAAUGUUUGACAGCUCUGCAGGGUCUCUACUACAACAGAGAACUGAACACCAGACUGGAGCUGUUCACCAGCCGCUUCAAGGACCGCAUCGUCUCCAUGACUCUAGACAAGGAGUACGAUGUUGCAGUACAAGCAAUUAAACUGCUCACUCUGGUACUACAUAGUACAGAUGAGGUACUGAGCCCGGAGGACUGUGAGAGCGUCUAUCACCUGGUCUACUCCGCCCACCGACCGGUCGCCAUAGCAGCCGGGGAGUUCCUCUUCAAGAAACUGUUCAGUACGCGGGAGCCAGAAGAGGAGGGCGCCCCCAAGAGGAGAGGAAGACAAAGCCCCAAUGCCAACCUCAUCAAAACUACUGUUUUCUUCUUCCUGGAGAGCGAGCUCCAUGAGCACGCUGCGUACCUGGUGGACUCUCUGUGGGAGAGUGGAGCAGACCUACUGAAGGACUGGGAGUGUAUGACCAGCCUGCUACUGGACGACCCUGUGCCAGGGGAGGAAGCCCUGACAGACAGACAGGAGACGGCUCUCAUAGAGAUAAUGCUGUGUACGGUGCGCCAGGCAGCAGAGUGCCACCCGCCCGUAGGCCGCGGAACUGGGAAGAGGGUGAUGACAGCGAAGGAGAAGAAGACCCAGCUAGAUGACAGGACCAGAAUGACAGAGCUGUUUGCUGUGACAUUACCCCCUCUGUUGGCCAAGUACUCCAUAGAUACAGAGAAGGUGACCAACCUGCUGCAGCUCCCUCAGUUCUUUGACCUGGAUAUCUACACCACAGGACGACUAGAGAAGCACUUGGAGGCGUUGCUGCGUCAGAUCAGGGAGAUGGUGGAGAAACACACAGACACAGAGGUUCUGGAGGCGUGCUCGAAGACCUACCACGCUCUCUGCAACGAGGAGUUCACCAUCUUUAACAGAGUGGACAUCGCCAGGUCACAGCUGCUCGAUGAACUGGUGGACAAAUUCAACAGACUGCUGGAAGACUUCUUACAAGAGGGUGAGGAGCCUGAUGAUGAUGAUGCCUACCAGGUCCUGUCUACUCUCAAGAGAAUCACAGCAUUCCACAAUGCCCAUGACCUGUCCCAGUGGGAUCUGUUCAGCAGUAACUUCAAGUUGCUCAACACGGGCAUUGAGAACGGAGACAUGCCAGAGCAGAUAGUGGUCCAUGCUCUACAGUGUACCCACUACAUUGUCCUGUGGUACUUGGCCAAGGUCUCGGAGGGCAGCCACAGAAAGGAGGAGCUGGUGAGCCUGAGGAAACAGAUGCGGAUGUUCUGUCUGAUGUGUCAACGUUACCUCACCAACGUCAACACAACCGUCAAGGAACAGGCGUUCACCAUCCUGUGUGAUGUGUUGCUGGUCUUUAGUCAUCAGAUGGUAUCGGGAGGCAGAGAGCAGCUGGAGCCGCUGGUCUACAGUCCUGAUGACUCGUUACAGACAGAACUACUGUCCUUCAUACUGCACCAUGUGUUUAUAGACCAGGACGAUGACAACGGCAGCACAGAUGGCCAGCAGGAUGACGAGGCAGCGAAGAUAGAAGCUCUUCAUAAGAGACGUAACCUCCUGGCGGCCUACUGUAAACUUAUCAUCUAUAACGUAGUAGAGAUGAACACUGGCGCUGACAUCUUUAAGCAGUACAUGAGGUAUUAUAAUGACUAUGGUGACAUCAUCAAGGAGACCAUGUCAAAGACCAGACAGAUAGACAAGAUCCAAUGUGCCAAGACACUCAUUCUCAGUCUACAACAGUUGUUCCAUGAGAUGUUGUCAGAGUUGGGGACAGGAUUUGACCGCUCGUCCUCAGCAUUCUGUGGGAUCAAGGAGCUGGCCAGACGUUUCUCUCUCACCUUCGGUCUGGACCAGGUCAAAACACGAGACGCUAUCGCCAUGCUGCACAAGGAUGGUAUAGAGUUUGCGUUUAAGGAGCCCAGUCCACAGGGAGAGGGCAACCCUCCUCUUCACCUGGCCUUCCUAGACAUCCUCUCUGAGUUUUCCUCCAAACUAAUGAGGCAGGACAAGAGGACUGUUCACAUGUAUCUGGAGAGGUUCAUGACCUUCCAGAUGGCCCUCCAGAGAGACGACUGCUGGCUACCGCUCAUCUCCUACAGGAACUCCCUGCAGGCCGGAGGGGACGAUGACACCAUGUCUGUUGUCUCCGGAUACUCCUCCAGAGGGUCGUCGGUCAGAUCCAAGAAGACCAAGGCUGCUACUCCCACUGCUACCGUCGCUGCAGCUAAGAGGAAACUCCCUGAAGCGGAGGAGAGCAGUAGCAGCAGUGCAGAUAUGUCGUGGCAGCACCAGAGCAUGCAGACGCCCGUGAUGAUGCCCUCCCCCCACCUCACCUCUACCAUGAUGAGAGGACCAGGGGACAUGAGGGAGGAGGCCAAACGGGGGAGAGACGACAGCUACAUGGGAGUGUACGCCCUCCCUUCAGACUCCCAGCAGCAUCCUCACCCUCACACACUCCCCCAAACCCCUCAACUCCACCAGACACCCAUCGACUACAAUACCCAGGUGACGUGGAUGCUGGCACAGAGGCAGCAGGAGGAGGUUCGUCAGCAGCAGGAGAGAGCCAUGAACUACGCCAAGCUCAGAACCAACCUGCAACAGGCCAUUCGGCGUGGUACAGGGCUGAUGGAGGAGGAUGAGGAGCCUAUCGUAGAGGACGUGAUGAUGUCGUCAGAGGGUCGUAUGGAAGACCUCAACGAGGGCAUGGACUUUGACACCAUGGACAUCGACCUGCCCCCCUCUAAGAACAGGAGAGAGAGAUCAGAGCUGAAACCAGACUACUUUGACCCUGGUUCCAUCAUGGAUGAGUCUGUCCUUGGAGUGUCCAUGUUUUAAACUGGUAUUUGUAGACGAAGAGGAGAGAGGCAUUUUGUAUUUAUGGAGAAGUUAAGAUGUGGAUCUGAAGUCUUCUCUGAUUUAUCCUCCAUGGUCUAACACACACACACACACACACACACACACACACACACACACACACACACACACACACACACACACACACACACACACACACACACACACACACACACACACACACACACACACACACACACACACACACAGUGUUGCUUGCUCAGAGGGAACUGAAUGAAAAUAAAAUACUUUUAUAAUCCUUGGGUAAGCUUUUCACCUUCGUUAGCUUCAAACCUAAAGGAAUCCUCGACAUUUAGUCUGAAGAAAGUUCCAUUAUUCUAGAAUGUUUUAUUUUUCUUCCAAAUGGAGAUGGAAUGAGAUUUUUAAAUGUCUUCUAACCCUGUCUCUAUGCUAGUAUAGUGAGUAACCCGGUGUGGUCUAGUAAUUUAUAAACAGGUUGUUAGUAGGAAAGGUAGCUAGCUGUGCUGUAGUAUUAGUGGAUGGACAUGGUCUUUAUGCUAUUUUCAGUUUUUCCUCCAUGUUGGACUGUCAGAAUCUGUUGGUUCUGUGGUUGUGAUGACGACUGCUGGUGUUUCAGUUGGGGACCUGUUGUCUAGAUCAGCUGUAAGUCAUGGAUGGAGCAACACACAUCCAACCGUUGGCCCAAGUAAAGGACACAACCGUUUUCCAAGAGCAGAUUCCUUCAUACGAAACACGUAGAAAUAACGGCACGCUGUUGUAAACACUUCAGUGUAGUUUCUUGCAACGUUCGGCACAUCCAGAUGUGUGGGUACUGUUUCCAUUCUGUGGUGGUUGGAUACUGUCUUACUGAGGAUCCCAGUAGUUGCUGUGAAGAGGCCCAGGAUGCAUCUCAAAAGUAGUGCACCAUAUAGGGAAUAGGGUGCCAUUUGGUAUGCAGACAAAAAGUGUUUAACAAGGAACUAGGCUGUCACACAAGUCCUGAAGCUUACCCAAAGAUUUGCACCCUUCUACCUAUCUGUGGAGUUUUCUCUCAACGGACAGCGAGGUGAUUUCCUCUCUGGUAGUGCCACCGCUGUGCUGACUCCGAGACAGGCAAGCAUCACGCUAAUACACACAAAAUACAUUUCUCCAUCUCCAGAAAAUCCAGCAUAUUUAGUGUUGAAAUAGCUAUCUCUAAAUUUUAAAUAAAGUUAUAUAUGAAUCGGUGCUGAUUUUAUAACUGUGCUUUUUUUUUGUUUUAUUAAAAUGUUCAACCUACAGUUAAUGUUUCAGAAAUGUGUAAGUAAAACUGUUUAAAAUGAAAAGCAUGGGUAGUCAGGUGUCGGAAGAUUUUUAAAUUUGUAUUUUUUUUCUUUCUUAACGUCUUGGGGUUUCUACCGUUUUUCCUACGUGUCAAUGAGUUUGGAUGAGACUCAUUGUGAGAAAAUACAUCUGGCUUGUGAAAUUUCAGCUUUAAGAUUCUCAACAUCCAUGAGUAAUAAUAAUGUCCUGUUGCGAAACUCAACAAUAUAAAACUGUGUAACUAACUAAAAACCAGUCAUCAUUAUAAUCCUAUAGAAAAGUUGAUUGUUUUCAUCCCAAUUGGUACCCUAUUCCCUAGUGCCCUCACCAGGCCCUAUAUUCCCUAUGGGCCCUGGUCAAAAGUAGUGCACUAUAUAGGGAAUAAGGUGCCAUUUGGGACACUUUUCAACAGUAGCAGCACUCUGGCAGCUAGACAAAGCUUAAAUGUGACAUGAACUAUUAUGUCGUCCAUAAGUUUUAAUGAAAUGUUUUGUCUACUGAGGUAAAUCUAUCUACUUUGUAAUCAUUCCAUGCCUGAGCCUUAAACAUGCUAUAGUGGAAGGAAAUCAACUGCCCUGUCCAGAAACGGCCCCUAGCCCCAUAGAAAUAGUAUUACUAGAAUGAAAUUGAUAUUGUCUAAGGGGUGCUUUUCCCCGUUCUAUUCAUUCUAUGCCUAUAUACCUAGACUCUCCAAGGCACCUGUGUAUAUCUGAUAGGAAUGGGUAAGGUAUAAGCAAUUUGGCUUCAUCCCAACUAGUCUGAGGUAAAUGGUGAAGCUACUAUCGUAUUGCUUAUACCCAUCCAAUUACUAUAGAUCUACACUAGCACCUAGGGGUUAGGCUUGAGGUAGCCCCGGAGAGAUUAUGUAGAUGAGAUUUGGUUGGGCCUCGUGACACUAGGGGUGCUUGGGAUUGUUUCUGGAAAGGGCCUACAUUUGUUUUCUCUCACAACUUUCUUCCAUGUCAGAGGUAGCCAUGAAAGGUGAUUAUUGGUGUUUAUGACGACAGAGAACAUUCGAGAUGGUCCAGAUGUGAUGUCGAUGAAGUAGAUACAAACAGCCUGUGUGUUUUACCUAAUGAUUAUUUUAUGUAAGUAAAUAUUUUGGAGUAAAAAUGACUGUGGCUUUUGUUUUUGUCACUUACUACCACUACAUUGGUAUAAUUCCUUUUAUUUGAACCUUCCUGUAUAUAAAACAAACAUCAAGCUUUA
RNA transcript from Oncorhynchus gorbuscha (pink salmon), 6636 nucleotides. It is a transcript of the gene named cohesin subunit SA-2-like, with no coding region annotated. The record is from RefSeq and is a predicted model, not a curated record. NCBI's taxonomy places the organism in Eukaryota, Metazoa, Chordata, Actinopteri, Salmoniformes, Salmonidae. The transcript is spliced from 32 exons.